RNAcentral lists this ribosomal RNA (254 nucleotides) under uncultured bacterium. RNAcentral's name for it is "partial 16S ribosomal RNA". It matches the Rfam family "Bacterial small subunit ribosomal RNA", at positions 524 to 776 of the family's 1533-position model. The record is from RNAcentral.
CACGUAGGGGCCAAGCGUUGUCCGGAUUUAUUGGGCGUAAAGAGCUCGUAGGCGGUUCGACAAGUCGGGUGUGAAAACUCCGGGCUCAACCCGGAGACGCCACCCGAUACUGUCGUGACUGGAGUCCGGUAGGGGAGUGGGGAAUUCCUGGUGUAGCGGUGAAAUGCGCAGAUAUCAGGAGGAACACCAGUGGCGAAGGCGGCUCUCUGGGACGGUACUGACGCUGAGACGCGAAAGCGUGGGGAGCGAACAGG